RNAcentral lists this ribosomal RNA (492 nucleotides) under uncultured bacterium. Its description in RNAcentral is "partial 16S ribosomal RNA". It matches the Rfam family "Bacterial small subunit ribosomal RNA", at positions 29 to 507 of the family's 1533-position model. The record is from RNAcentral.
AGUGAACGCUGGCGGUAGGCCUAACACAUGCAAGUCGAACGGCAGCACAGUAAGAGCUUGCUCUUACGGGUGGCGAGUGGCGGACGGGUGAGGAAUACAUCGGAAUCUACUUUUUCGUGGGGGAUAACGUAGGGAAACUUACGCUAAUACCGCAUACGACCUACGGUUGAAAGCGGGGGAUCUUUUGACCUUGCGCGAUUGAAUGCGCCGAUGUCGGAUUAGCUGGUUGGCGGGGUAAAGGCCCACCACGGCGACGAUCCGUAGCUGGUGUGAGAGGAUGGUCAGCCACACUGGAACUGAGACACGGUCCAGACUCCUACGGGAGGCAGCAGUGGGGAAUAUUGGGCAAUGGGCGCAAGCCUGAUCCAGCCAUACCGCGUGGGUGAAGAAGGCCUUCGGGUUGUAAAGCCCUUUUGUUGGGAAAGAAAAGCAGCAGGUUAAUACCCCGCUGUUCUGACGGUACCCAAAGAAUAAGCACCGGCUAACUUCGUG